RNAcentral lists this ribosomal RNA (1504 nucleotides) under metagenome. RNAcentral describes it as "bacterial LSU rRNA". It matches the Rfam family "Bacterial large subunit ribosomal RNA", at positions 1277 to 2909 of the family's 2925-position model. The record is from RNAcentral.
UUAGAUCAGAAGCGAGAAUGUUGACAUGAGUAGCGAUAAAGAGGGUGAGAGACCCUCUCGCCGUAAGUCCAAGGGUUCCUGCUUAAAGCUAAUCUGAGCAGGGUAGGCCGGCCCCUAAGGCGAGGCCGAAAGGCGUAGUCGAUGGGAACCAGGUUAAUAUUCCUGGGCCAGGAGGAAGUGACGGAUCUCGAAGGUAGUUUGCCCUUAUCGGAUUGGGUGGGCUGCUCAGAGGUUCCAGGAAAUAGCCCUCCAUCAGACCGUACCCUAAACCGACACAGGUGGACUGGUAGAGUAUACCAAGGCGCUUGAGAGAACCACGUUAAAGGAACUCGGCAAAAUGCCUCCGUAAGUUCGCGAGAAGGAGGCCCCAUAUCUGGGCAACCAGGUGUGGGGGGCACAAACUAGGGGGUGGCGACUGUUUACUUAAAACACAGGGCUGUGCGAAGCCGUAAGGCGACGUAUACAGUCUGACGCCUGCCCGGUGCUGGAAGGUUAAAAGGAGGGGUGCAAGCUCUGAAUUGAAGCCCCAGUAAACGGCGGCCGUAACGAUAACGGUCCUAAGGUAGCGAAAUUCCUUGUCGGGUAAGUUCCGACCUGCACGAAUGGCGUAACGAUCUCCCCGCUGUCUCUAACGUGGACUCAGCGAAAUUGAACUGUGUGUCAAGAUGCACACUACCCGCGGUUAGACGGAAAGACCCCAUGCACCUUUACUCCAGCUUUGCACUGGUAUCAGGAUUGUGAUGUGCAGGAUAGGUGGUAGGCAUCGAAGCGGGGACGCCAGUUCUCGUGGAGCCUCCCUUGAGAUACCACCCUACGCCAUCUUGAUAUCUAACCGCGGCCCGUUAUCCGGGUCCGGGACCCUGCAUGGUGGGGAGUUUGACUGGGGCGGUCGCCUCCCAAACAGUAACGGAGGCGCGCGAAGGUAGGCUCAGACCGGUCGGAAAUCGGUCGUUGAGUGCAAUGGCAGAAGCCUGCCUGACUGCAAGUCUGACAAGACGAGCAGAGACGAAAGUCGGUCAUAGUGGUCCGGUGGUCCCAAGUGGGAGGGCCAUCGCUCAACGGAUAAAAGGUACGCUGGGGAUAACAGGCUGAUGAUGCCCAAGAGUCCAUAUCGACGGCAUCGUUUGGCACCUCGAUGUCGGCUCAUCUCAUCCUGGGGCUGGAGCAGGUCCCAAGGGUAUGGCUGUUCGCCAUUUAAAGAGGUACGUGAGCUGGGUUUAGAACGUCGUGAGACAGUUCGGUCCCUAUCUGCCGUGGGUGUAGGAGACUUGAGAAGAGUUGCCCCUAGUACGAGAGGACCGGGGUGAACGAACCACUGGUGGACCAGUUGUCGUGCCAACGGCAGUGCUGGGUAGCUAUGUUCGGACAGGAUAACCGCUGAAGGCAUCUAAGCGGGAAGCCCCCUUCAAAACAAGGUCUCCCUUGAGAGCCGUGGAAGACCACCACGUCGAUAGGCCGGAGGUGUAAGUGCAGCAAUGCAUUCAGCUGACCGGUACUAAUUGCU